RNAcentral lists this unclassified non-coding RNA (267 nucleotides) under Ascomycota sp. RNAcentral's name for it is "partial contains small subunit ribosomal RNA, internal transcribed spacer 1, and 5.8S ribosomal RNA". The stretch from base 1 to 47 matches the Rfam family "Eukaryotic small subunit ribosomal RNA", at positions 1785 to 1831 of the family's 1831-position model. The record is from RNAcentral. Lineage: Eukaryota; Fungi; Ascomycota.
AAAGUCGUAACAAGGUUUCCGUAGGUGAACCUGCGGAAGGAUCAUUACAAUUCAGUAGCUUGCUACUGUCGGGAGGUGCUGUUAGUCCGCAUAGUUUAAUUACUGAUGAGCGGCAGGCCCUCUGUCUGUACCCUUGUCUUUUGCGCACUCAUGUUUCCUCGGCGGGCUUGCCCGCCGAUAGGACAAACUUAUAACCUUUUUAAUUUUCAAUCAGCGUCUGAAAAAACUUAAUAAUUACAACUUUCAACAACGGAUCUCUUGGUUCUG